RNAcentral lists this microRNA precursor (201 nucleotides) under Oryza glumipatula. RNAcentral's name for it is "MIR812 microRNA precursor family". It matches the Rfam family "MIR812 microRNA precursor family". Lineage: Eukaryota; Viridiplantae; Streptophyta; Magnoliopsida; Poales; Poaceae. The record is from Rfam by way of RNAcentral.
UUUAAAUGUAGCUGUAAAUUUCUGUGUCUAACUUUAAUCGUCUGUCUUAUUUAACUUUUUUAUAAUUAGUAUUUUUUUAUUGUUACUAGAAUGGUAAAACCUGAGUAUUUUAUGUGUAACUUAUAUUUUUUAAUUAAUUCAAAUAUUUUUAAAUAAGAUAAAUGAUUAAAAUUAAAUAAAAGACAUAUAACUGUGUUUAAA